RNAcentral lists this unclassified non-coding RNA (233 nucleotides) under Hevea brasiliensis (rubber tree). Lineage: Eukaryota; Viridiplantae; Streptophyta; Magnoliopsida; Malpighiales; Euphorbiaceae. The record is from RNAcentral.
UCAUGGCCCUGGAGAGGAAAUGAAAGCGAAGGCUCAGAUACAAGGAGCACCCGCGUUAUGUGGCCCUGGUUGCAAAAUGAUCAAGAGAGUGAAACAGUUCAUCUGAGGAGUCCCACCUCAGGUGCAAAACCUGAAAGCCAGGCAAAUGAGGGUAAUCGACCCACCUAUAAUGAGGCUUCUGGUUCCUGGUCCUCUGUUAACGUUAACAGCACCAGCAGUGCCAGCAGCUGUGG